RNAcentral lists this ribosomal RNA (470 nucleotides) under Sphingomonas sp. CZ7. RNAcentral's name for it is "bacterial SSU rRNA". It matches the Rfam family "Bacterial small subunit ribosomal RNA", at positions 1074 to 1533 of the family's 1533-position model. The record is from RNAcentral. Lineage: Bacteria; Pseudomonadati; Pseudomonadota; Alphaproteobacteria; Sphingomonadales; Sphingomonadaceae.
GUUGGGUUAAGUCCCGCAACGAGCGCAACCCUCAUCCCUAGUUGCCAUCAUUCAGUUGGGCACUCUAAGGAAACUGCCGGUGAUAAGCCGGAGGAAGGUGGGGAUGACGUCAAGUCCUCAUGGCCCUUACGCGCUGGGCUACACACGUGCUACAAUGGCGGUGACAGUGGGCAGCAACCUCGCGAGAGGUAGCUAAUCUCCAAAAGCCGUCUCAGUUCGGAUUGUUCUCUGCAACUCGAGAGCAUGAAGGCGGAAUCGCUAGUAAUCGCGGAUCAGCAUGCCGCGGUGAAUACGUUCCCAGGCCUUGUACACACCGCCCGUCACACCAUGGGAGUUGGUUUCACCCGAAGGCAGUGCUCUAACCCGCAAGGGAGGAAGCUGACCACGGUGGGAUCAGCGACUGGGGUGAAGUCGUAACAAGGUAGCCGUAGGGGAACCUGCGGCUGGAUCACCUCCUUUCUGCGGCCGCU